UACGAAGGGGGCUAGCGUUGCUCGGAAUUAUUGGGCGUAAAGGGCGCGUAGGCGGGUUUUUAAGUCAGGGGUGAAAUCCUGGAGCUCAACUCCAGAACUGCCUUUGAUACUGAAGAUCUUGAGUCCGGGAGAGGUGAGUGGAACUGCGAGUGUAGAGGUGAAAUUCGUAGAUAUUCGCAAGAACACCAGUGGCGAAGGCGGCUCACUGGCCCGGUACUGACGCUGAGGCACGAAAGCGUGGGGAGCAAACAGG
Molecule: ribosomal RNA, 253 nt
Filed under: uncultured bacterium
Lineage: Bacteria
Description: partial 16S ribosomal RNA
Rfam family: Bacterial small subunit ribosomal RNA
Source: RNAcentral